RNAcentral lists this long non-coding RNA (1806 nucleotides) under Volvox carteri. RNAcentral describes it as "long non-coding RNA (VCAR_LNC003045)". Lineage: Eukaryota; Viridiplantae; Chlorophyta; Chlorophyceae; Chlamydomonadales; Volvocaceae. The record is from RNAcentral.
UUAUAAACUCCCUUUGGCAACAGCAUUCUUGGACGCGUUUUGUGCUGCACCUUCCCGUCGAAGCGGCUUCGUCCGGUAAUGGCUGCCAUUACCGGACGUCCAACUUCGCUAGUCUUUUCCACAAGUCAUCAAAACGUAAUGGCUACGCAUAGUAAUUGCGGUCGUCGUUAAUCUUCUUGCCCGCUUGUCCAGCUAUGGUAAGCCUCACCGGCAGACCUUGUUUAAGCCACAACACUGGUCCUUUUGCCUUCUUUCCUUUCGACUGCCAGCUUUCAGCCUCAUUUUAAUAAAGCAAACCAAGGAAAUUGGCCGCUUCAGUAGAAGUUGUGCCCGUUGUCCUGACCAAUGUAUAGCCCUGUAUGUGGCUGCGGGACGAACAGAGAUAUACCAGUAGUGAUUGAAACGCCGUGGGUGCGCAGCAGGUGCCGCGAGCGAGGGAGGGACCCGAGCAGGACUGCCUCGUUCGCGCAACACCUUAUCCAGAUCUAUGCAAGAGGUCACGGGAGCGCACAAACUGUGUUAUUAGUCCAAAUCACAAAUAUUGAAAAAUGCGAGAUCUGAAUCGAUUGCCUGCUGUUGGACCCGAAGUAAUCACGCGCUGAUAGAUAUUAUCGCUGACUGCAUCCGGCCUGCAGUUUGGUGCUUCUCACCACGGACUCCUGACCAUGUGUUGUAUCCUGGAUAUAUCGGAAGGUCUGCCGGUGAGGCUUACCAUAGCUGGACAAGCGGGCAAGAAGAUUAACGACGACCGCAAUUACUAUGCAUAGCCAUUACGUUUUGAUGAGUUGUGGAAAAGACUAGCGAAGUUGGACGUCCGGUAAUGGCUUCGACGGGAAGGUGCAGCACAAAACAUAGCAUGUUGGAGGCUAUGAAAUGGGAACCAGUACGUCUGGCGAGGAUGUUGGGACGUAUGUGGGCUCACCGAAACUCAGCUACCCCCUUUGGACGCUAAUCUGGGCUGACGUGUGGUGUUUCCUGUUCUCCGUGGCUUUUAGGCGUAUAGAUAUUGCCCUUGGGCCUUCGGCUCGUAUGGGUUGUUUUACAGGUAUUUUACAGGUCACGCACUACCAACCAUGUAACACAACACACACACACAUGAUCUGCAUCCGCUGAUCGGUGCUUUUCUGAAGUCGUGGUAUAACACUUGGUACCGAGCAGGUAUCGUUGUACCGACCUGAGUUUGAAUGCCAGCUGAAGCGGUUUCUGCCGAGUUGGAGGCGACGGGCCCCGCGACCGCUGGAUAUCCUGUGGGUGCUUCCAUCUCCCGGAGAACCUGAGGUGGAAUUAAGCCCUCUACCACUAGAGGGGGAUAGCUGUAAUAUCCUGGACACAUCACGGGAUCUGCAGCAGGCAGCAGGCACACAUACACUACAUCCCCAUGCAUGCGGCUAGCCUAAGUUAAUGAGGCAGGUACUAUACGAGCACACCAUGUAUGGAUGCAACCAUGCAUGCAUUAGUCGUAGGUAUUACGGCGAGCCCCAGACCCCAAGGGGCAGGGCCAUCGAGGCCAUAAUGGACCGUGCACUGCACUGGCCGGGAAUCCUGUGAUGAGAACCCACACCACGAGAACAGCAAUACAGCUCAACGAGAAGCCUGAGAGACUCUGUUUGGGAUGCCCUAGCAGCUUAGCACACAAGAGGGAAGUAGCCUGUGUGUAGGCCCCCCCCCAAGAGGCAGCAGAAGGUAUCAGUUCCCGAGAGAGGCAACUCCCUCGGGGCAACAGCAAGCCGUGGCUUGAAAAUAAGGAGUUGUACAACUUCUAUGGGAGAAGGUGCACUUGCACACCAAGGCACCCAUAUGAUCGUG